This 475-nucleotide ribosomal RNA is filed under the name uncultured bacterium. RNAcentral's name for it is "partial 16S ribosomal RNA". It matches the Rfam family "Bacterial small subunit ribosomal RNA", at positions 28 to 523 of the family's 1533-position model. The record is from RNAcentral.
GAUGAACGCUGGCGGCGCGCCUAACACAUGCAAGUCGAACGGCACCCCUCUCCGGAGGGAAGCGAGUGGCGAACGGCUGAGUAACACGUGGAGAACCUGCCCCCUCCCCCGGGAUAGCCGCCCGAAAGGACGGGUAAUACCGGAUAACCCGGGGUGCCGCAUGGCACCCCGGCUAAAGCGCCGACGGGAGGGGCUGGCUCCGCGGCCCAUCAGGUAGACGGCGGGGGGACGGCCCACCGUGCCGACAACGGGUAGCCGGGUUGAGAGACCGACCGGCCAGAAUAGGACUGAGACACGGCCCAGACUCCUACGGGAGGCAGCAGUGGGGAGUCUGGCGCAAUGGGGGGAACACUGACGCAGCGACGCCGCGUGCGGGACGGAGGCCUUCGUGUCGUAAACCGCUUUCAGCAGGGAAGAGUCAAGACUGUACCUGCAGAAGAAGCCCCGGCUAACUACGUGCCAGCCGCCGCGGUAA